RNAcentral lists this ribosomal RNA (345 nucleotides) under Colophon haughtoni. RNAcentral describes it as "partial 16S ribosomal RNA". The record is from RNAcentral. Lineage: Eukaryota; Metazoa; Arthropoda; Insecta; Coleoptera; Lucanidae.
AUGGCCGCGGUAUUUUGACCGUGCAAAGGUAGCAUAAUCAUUAGUUUUUUAAUUGAAAGCUGGAAUGAAUGGUUGGACAAGAAAAUUUCUGUCUCUAUUUAAUUUUUUAGAAUUUUAUUUUUUAGUAAGAAAGCUUAAAUUUUUUUAAGGGACGAGAAGACCCUAUAGAAUUUUACAUAUAUUAAGGUUUUCAAUUUUUAGGAUAAUUAUUUUGGAAUUUAUUUUAUGUGUUUUGUUGGGGUGAUAGAAAAAUUUAAAUAACUUUUUUUUAUUUCAAUCAUUGAUUAAUGAAUAUUUGAUCCAUUUAUUGUGAUUAUAAGAUUAAAUUACCUUAGGGAUAACAGC